UACGGGGGGGGCAAGCGUUGUUCGGAAUUACUGGGCGUAAAGGGCUCGUAGGCGGCCAACUAGGUCAGACGUGAAAUCCCUCGGCUUAACCGGGGAACUGCGUCUGAUACUGGAUGGCUAGAGUGUGGGAGAGGGAUGCGGAAUUCCAGGUGUAGCGGUGAAAUGCGUAGAUAUCUGGAGGAACACCGGUGGCGAAGGCGGCAUCCUGGACCACGACUGACGCUGAGUGAGCGAAAGCCAGGGGAGCAAACGGG
This 254-nucleotide ribosomal RNA is filed under the name uncultured bacterium. RNAcentral describes it as "partial 16S ribosomal RNA". It matches the Rfam family "Bacterial small subunit ribosomal RNA", at positions 524 to 776 of the family's 1533-position model. The record is from RNAcentral.